CGCCCAUUCUCGGCUUCAGUUUUUCGGGUCCUGGGACUUGUUUGGGAGGGAAGUGGCUGUGGAAAGUCGUUUUUCCUGCGGCUUCUCACGCAGACUCCCCGGAUUUCUUAGUCCGAACCAGGACUUGUAGGUCCCUGCAUCCCGGCGGGCACUGAUUUCAGGGUGGGAAGAAUUUUACCCUCAGCAGCUCUACCGGCCGUCGUACUUUCCUGGUUCUUUAACCUUCCACAUCAUUCCAUCCUCCCGGGUGUUCCGCGGAGCUGACCGGGAUGUCUCCUCAGCACAGGAGCGGUGACCUCUUCGGCAAGUGUUAUGCGCUGACUGCUCUAGGCGGUGUUCUCAGUGCUGAGGAUUAAGUAGUGAACAAAAUAAAAGUUCCUGUUUUCAUGGAGAUUUCCAUCCGGUGAAGACAUUUUCUUGGCCUAGCAGUUCAGAAAUUCAUUACCAGGUAGGCAAUACCUGUCCCGAAAUUCGACACUGUCUUUCUUCUCACAUGGACUGAAGCUUCGGGCUCAGUCUCCAUCUUGGAGGAAGUGAGUCUUUAAGAAAAGGGAAUUUUUGUAUUUGAAGACAGGCACAGUGUGGGCUUUCAACUUCACCGGCCUCUUUGCUUGGUUCAGUGUCUGGUAUCCUCUAAACGUCGGAGAAGAAAGACUACCAGUCCAUUUUUAAACUGCUUGGAUAGGCAGUGUGGUCUGGAGAAAGACCUGAGUUGAGUCAAGACUCCUUCACUUACAAGUCAUGUGACUGGACAAGGGGAUUGCCAUAACCAAGACUGUUUUAUUUGCAAAACUGAAAAUAGCAAUACCUCUUUUACAGUUUGAGUGUGUAUUAUUCAAUAAUAGAUGUAAAAGGGCUUAGCACUAUACCUAGCAGAUAAUAAAUUUGCAACAAAUGUUAACUUACUUCCUUAACAGGAAAUUCAUUUUAUCACCUACCACUCUCUGCCCCUCAGCUUUCCUGGCACUGAAUUAGAUUCUAACUCCUAAAUGGAGUUAGGUUGAAAGAAACUGAUUCCUGUAACAGACAAUAGUAAUCCUGUUACUGAUUUAUAUAUCUUGUUUAGAGAUGAAAGAAAUGCAUAGAGGCACAUAGACUGAAGAAAAAUGGUUAGAAGUUUUCUGACAUCAGUAAACAGAGAAACUCUGACUAGUAACAGUUUAAUAAAGCAUGUGUGCUGAUGAAUGAA
Long non-coding RNA from Choloepus didactylus (southern two-toed sloth), 1189 nucleotides. RefSeq lists it as uncharacterized. The transcript is spliced from 2 exons. Lineage: Eukaryota; Metazoa; Chordata; Mammalia; Pilosa; Megalonychidae. The record is from RefSeq and is a predicted model, not a curated record.